This 497-nucleotide ribosomal RNA is filed under the name uncultured bacterium. RNAcentral's name for it is "partial 16S ribosomal RNA". It matches the Rfam family "Bacterial small subunit ribosomal RNA", at positions 28 to 507 of the family's 1533-position model. The record is from RNAcentral.
GAUGAACGCUGGCGGCGUGCCUAAUACAUGCAAGUCGAGCGAACAGACGAGGAGCUUGCUCCUCUGACGUUAGCGGCGGACGGGUGAGUAACACGUGGAUAACCUACCUAUAAGACUGGGAUAACUUCGGGAAACCGGAGCUAAUACCGGAUAAUAUAUUGAACCGCAUGGUUCAAUAGUGAAAGACGGUUUUGCUGUCACUUAUAGAUGGAUCCGCGCCGCAUUAGCUAGUUGGUAAGGUAACGGCUUACCAAGGCAACGAUGCGUAGCCGACCUGAGAGGGUGAACGGCCACACUGGAACUGAGCCACGGUCCAGACUCCUACGGGAGGCAGCAGUAGGGAAUCUUCCGCAAUGGGCGAAAGCCUGACGGAGCAACGCCGCGUGAGUGAUGAAGGUCUUCGGAUCGUAAAACUCUGUUAUUAGGGAAGAUCAAAUGUGUAAGUAACUAUGCACGUCUUGACGGUACCUAAUCAGAAAGCCACGGCUAACUACGUG